AUUGAACGCUGGCGGCAGGCUUAACACAUGCAAGUCGAACGGUAACAUAAAGGAGCUUGCUUCUUUGAUGACGAGUGGCGGACGGGUGAGUAAUGCUUGGGAAUCUAGCUUAUGGAGGGGGAUAACUACGGGAAACUGUAGCUAAUACCGUGUAGAAUCGGGAGAUGAAAGUGUGGGACCUUCGGGCCACAUGCCAUAGGAUGAGCCCAAGUGGGAUUAGGUAGUUGGUGAGGUAAAGGCUCACCAAGCCGACGAUCUCUAGCUGGUCUGAGAGGAUGACCAGCCACACUGGGACUGAGACACGGCCCAGACUCCUACGGGAGGCAGCAGUGGGGAAUAUUGCGCAAUGGGGGCAACCCUGACGCAGCCAUGCCGCGUGAAUGAAGAAGGCCUUCGGGUUGUAAAGUUCUUUCGGUAGCGAGGAAGGCAUUUAGUUUAAGAGACUAGGUGAUUGACGUUAACUACAGAAGAAGCACCGGCUAACUCCGUG
RNAcentral lists this ribosomal RNA (490 nucleotides) under uncultured bacterium. RNAcentral's name for it is "partial 16S ribosomal RNA". It matches the Rfam family "Bacterial small subunit ribosomal RNA", at positions 30 to 507 of the family's 1533-position model. The record is from RNAcentral.